AAGCACAAGCCUAAGAAUGGUAAAGCCGCGAAUGGCUCAUUACAACAGCCAUAGUUUACUGGAUCUUACUUUCCUACUUGGAUAACUGUGGUAAUUCUAGAGCUAAUACACGCAUGAAAGCUCUGACCGUUUGGGAGGAGCGCAUUUAUUAGAACAAAACCAAUCGGGCCUUCGGGCCCGCCAAUUGGUGAAUCUGAAUAACUUUGCAGAUCGCACGGUCUCGUACCGGCGACGUAUCUUUCAAAUGUCUGCCUUAUCAACUUUAGAUGGUAGUUUACACGCCUACCAUGGUUGUAACGGGUAACGGAGAAUAAGGGUUCGACUCCGGAGAGGGAGCCUGAGAAAUGGCUACCACAUCCAAGGAAGGCAGCAGGCACGCAAAUUACCCACUCCCGGCACGGGGAGGUAGUGACGAAAAAUAACGAGGCGGUUCUCUACGAGGCCCGCCAUCGGAAUGGGUACAAUUUAAAUCCUUUAACGAGGAUCUAUUGGAGGGCAAGUCUGGUGCCAG
Molecule: ribosomal RNA, 511 nt
Filed under: Nematoda environmental sample
Lineage: Eukaryota; Metazoa; Nematoda
Description: SSU rRNA
Rfam family: Eukaryotic small subunit ribosomal RNA
Source: RNAcentral